Molecule: non-coding RNA, 109 nt
Organism: Escherichia coli str. K-12 substr. MG1655
Lineage: Bacteria; Pseudomonadati; Pseudomonadota; Gammaproteobacteria; Enterobacterales; Enterobacteriaceae
Source: Rfam
UUGAGGAAUUCCCUGAAUGUGACGCAAAUCACUUCAAAGAGUGAGCAACAGUCAGUAUCAUCAUGUGAGUUAAACCCUCGCCGCCUGACGGUGAGGGUUUUCUUUUGGG